RNAcentral lists this ribosomal RNA (451 nucleotides) under uncultured bacterium. RNAcentral's name for it is "bacterial SSU rRNA". It matches the Rfam family "Bacterial small subunit ribosomal RNA", at positions 29 to 523 of the family's 1533-position model. The record is from RNAcentral.
AACGAACGCUGGCGGCAUGCCUAACACAUGCAAGUCGAACGAGACCUUCGGGUCUAGUGGCGCACGGGUGCGUAACGCGUGGGAAUCUGCCCUUGGGUUCGGAAUAACAGCGAGAAAUUGCUGCUAAUACCGGAUGAUGACGUAAGUCCAAAGAUUUAUCGCCCAAGGAUGAGCCCGCGUAGGAUUAGCUAGUUGGUGAGGUAAAGGCUCACUAAGGCGACGAUCCUUAGCUGGUCUGAGAGGAUGAUCAGCCACACUGGGACUGAGACACGGCCCAGACUCCUACGGGAGGCAGCAGUGGGGAAUAUUGGACAAUGGGCGAAAGCCUGAUCCAGCAAUGCCGCGUGAGUGAUGAAGGCCUUAGGGUUGUAAAGGCUCUUUUACCCGGGAUGAUAAUGACAGUACCGGGAGAAUAAGACUCCGGCUAACUCCGUGCCAGCAGCCGCGGUAU